GACCCAGUGGUGCAACGGGCAGCAUAUCUGCAUAUUAUAAUGUGUCUUAGUUUCCGCGGGAGACCCUCGUUCGACUCGGGGUUGGGUCA
Mycena rebaudengoi is the source of this 89-nucleotide non-coding RNA. The record is from the annotation of a GenBank genome assembly. Lineage: Eukaryota; Fungi; Basidiomycota; Agaricomycetes; Agaricales; Mycenaceae.